UGCCUUCGGGAACUGUGAGACAGGUGCUGCAUGGCUGUCGUCAGCUCGUGUUGUGAAAUGUUGGGUUAAGUCCCGCAACGAGCGCAACCCUUAUCCUUUGUUGCCAGCGGUCCGGCCGGGAACUCAAAGGAGACUGCCAGUGAUAAACUGGAGGAAGGUGGGGAUGACGUCAAGUCAUCAUGGCCCUUACGACCAGGGCUACACACGUGCUACAAUGGCGCAUACAAAGAGAAGCGACCUCGCGAGAGCAAGCGGACCUCAUAAAGUGCGUCGUAGUCCGGAUUGGAGUCUGCAACUCGACUCCAUGAAGUCGGAAUCGCUAGUAAUCGUGGAUCAGAAUGCCACGGUGAAUACGUUCCCGGGCCUUGUACACACCGCCCGUCACACCAUGGGAGUGGGUUGCAAAAGAAGUAGGUAGCUUAACCUUCGGGAGGGCGCUUACCACUUUGUGAUUCAUGACUGGGGUGAAGUCGUAACAAGGUAACCGUAGGGGAACCUGC
This 500-nucleotide ribosomal RNA is filed under the name Salmonella enterica subsp. enterica serovar Agona. RNAcentral describes it as "partial 16S ribosomal RNA". It matches the Rfam family "Bacterial small subunit ribosomal RNA", at positions 1014 to 1515 of the family's 1533-position model. Lineage: Bacteria; Pseudomonadati; Pseudomonadota; Gammaproteobacteria; Enterobacterales; Enterobacteriaceae. RNAcentral also lists the same sequence under 2 other names. The record is from RNAcentral.